Molecule: ribosomal RNA, 97 nt
Filed under: uncultured bacterium
Lineage: Bacteria
Description: partial 16S ribosomal RNA
Rfam family: Bacterial small subunit ribosomal RNA
Source: RNAcentral
CACCGCCCGUCACGUCAUGGGAGUGGCCAAUGCUUGAAGUCCGUGGGCUAACCCGCAAGGGAGGCAGCGGCCGAGGGCAGGGGUCGCGACUGGGACG